Molecule: long non-coding RNA, 473 nt
Organism: Fukomys damarensis (Damara mole-rat)
Lineage: Eukaryota; Metazoa; Chordata; Mammalia; Rodentia; Bathyergidae
Exons: 3
Source: RefSeq, a predicted model, not a curated record
UUCAUGUGAUCCAAAGGAAUCAGGGCUCGUUACCUAUCACACUCAGUGUUACAAUAAAGUUAAUGUUUACCUGACCGGAAUACUUACUAUGUGUGGACUUUUUGCUGAGUAUCCUCAGUGAAGUCAGAAGAAUGUGAAGACAGAGGUGUGCCUGGAGAUACUGCUCCCUGAGCCCUUUAGAACUUACCAGGGAUUAGGACGGCCCACACUGUGUACGGCACAUGCUUUCUCCUUCAGUCUAAGUUACAACACCCUUUCAUCCCCAACAGGAGCAAACUAGACUGUAACGCAAAGCAGUGGAGACUUUUUGCUGAUAUCCUUAAUGAUGCAAGCAUGUUCCUCGAGAUUGUGGCUCCUGUACUCCCAGUUGGUUUCACCGUGACUGUCAGCAUCAGCAACUUGGCCAGGUGCAUCGUGAGUGUGGCUGGCGGGGCCACUCGGGCUGCGCUGACCAUGCACCAGGCCCGGAGAAA